GACGAACGCUGGCGGCGUGCUUAACACAUGCAAGUCGAACGGAAAGGCCCUGCUUUUGUGGGGUGCUCGAGUGGCGAACGGGUGAGUAACACGUGAGUAACCUGCCCUUGACUUUGGGAUAACUUCAGGAAACUGGGGCUAAUACCGGAUAGGAGCUCCUGCUGCAUGGUGGGCGUUGGAAAGUUUCGGCGGUUGGGGAUGGACUCGCGGCUUAUCAGCUUGUUGGUGGGGUAGUGGCUUACCAAGGCUUUGACGGGUAGCCGGCCUGAGAGGGUGACCGGCCACAUUGGGACUGAGAUACGGCCCAGACUCCUACGGGAAGCAGCAGUGGGGAAUAUUGCACAAUGGGCGGAAGCCUGAUGCAGCAACGCCGCGUGCGGGAUGACGGCCUUCGGGUUGUAAACCGCUUUCGCCUGUGACGAAGCGUGAGUGAAGGUAAUGGGUAAAGAAGCACCGGCUAACUACGUG
Molecule: ribosomal RNA, 468 nt
Filed under: uncultured bacterium
Lineage: Bacteria
Description: partial 16S ribosomal RNA
Rfam family: Bacterial small subunit ribosomal RNA
Source: RNAcentral